GACGAACGCUGGCGGCGCGCUUAACACAUGCAAGUCGAACGGAAAGGCCUGCUUUCCCUUGUGGAUUGCGGGUACUCGAGUGGCGAACGGGUGAGUAACACGUGAGUGAUCUGCCCCCAACUUGGGUAUAAGCCUGGGAAACUGGGUCUAAUUCCCGAUAGGACUGCAGGGUGGUGCCUGUGGUGGAAAACGAUUUUCUAGUGGUUGGGGAUGAGCUCGCGGCCUAUCAGCUUGUUGGUGGGGUAAUGGCCUACCAAGGCGGCGACGGGUAGCCGGCCUGAGAGGGUGGACGGCCACAUUGGGACUGAGAUACGGCCCAGACUCCUACGGGAGGCAGCAGUGGGGAAUAUUGCACAAUGGGCGGAAGCCUGAUGCAGCGACGCCGCGUGGGGGAUGACGGCCUUCGGGUUGUAAACUCCUUUCGACCGCGAGGAAGCCAGCUGGUUGGAAGGGUGGUGACGGUAGUGGUAGAAGAAGCACCGGCUAACUACGUG
RNAcentral lists this ribosomal RNA (494 nucleotides) under uncultured bacterium. RNAcentral's name for it is "partial 16S ribosomal RNA". It matches the Rfam family "Bacterial small subunit ribosomal RNA", at positions 28 to 507 of the family's 1533-position model. The record is from RNAcentral.